GGGCCUCUUGGGCUUUUACACACCAUGUUUAUCAAUUAAUUCACGGUUUUAAAUUUGAGUAGUGAGCUGAGUCAGUCCGAGUUAGGGUGAGUCCACUUCAACUCAAGCUUCUUCUCUUUCUCUCCCGACGGCUGCAACUCUAAGCCAGAUCAGAUGGCUUUCAGACGCAGUCUGAGCAUGCGCGUUAGACUGUUCAAUCAGAACCGUUACACACCUCCACUUUCGUAUAUGCAUCACCGCAAUGAUUCUGAAGAAUCAAAUAACCCCCUAAAUCAGGAAGUGAAACCGCUACAUGGGUUUCUGCAAAAUCGGAACUUUUCGAGCAGUGGAGGGUUUAGUCCAGUUUUUCGUGAUCCCGGGGUUUCGAGAUUGGAGAAUUCGAUGUUGAAUGGGUCGUUUUUGGCGAGGAAUAUGUCGUCAGCGAUUGGGGAUGGCACGGGGAAGAUGGAGUAUAUGACUGAUGUUGCUGGUGUUUUGAGUGAUGGGAGUGUGGAAGUAAUGACUCAACAAGUAGUGACCCAACAAGCUCCGGUUUUGAGUGAAGUUGCGGUGGCAGCUGCUGAUUCGUAUUUUCCGGUGGCUGCUUUGCAGUAUGUGAUUGAUGGGAUUCAUAGUUAUACUGGAUUGCCGUGGUGGGGAAGCAUAGUGGCAACAACUUUUCUGAUUCGAGGGUUAGCAGUUCCAUUAAUGAUUAAUCAGCUCAAAGCUACGUCAAAGCUAACGCUUAUGAGGCCAAAAUUGGAGGAAAUUAAGCAAGAGAUGCAAGACAGGGGUAUGAGUCCUACGGCAGUAACAGAAGGUCAACAACGAAUGGGAGAGGUGUUUAAAGAGUAUGGUGUAACACCGUGGACUCCUCUGAAAGGACUCCUGAUACAGGGUCCUGUUUUUGUCAGUUUUUUCCUCGGAAUUCAAAACAUGGUAGAAAAGGUACCGUCUUUUAAAGAGGGUGGAGCAUUUUGGUUCGUCGAUCUGACAAUUCCUGAUAGUUUCUACAUCUUUCCCAUUCUGACUGCACUAACGUUCUGGAUAACAGUGGAGUGCAAUAUGCAAGAAGGUUUGGAAGGCAAUCCUGCUGGUGGAACAAUGAAAAAGGUCAUGAGGGUUUUUGCCCUUGUCACAGUUCCUCUUACCAUGUCUUUCCCACAGGCUAUAUUUUGUUAUUGGAUCACGUCCAACCUGUUUUCACUUUUUUAUGGACUAGUAAUAAGAGCACCGAAGGUUAAAAAGUUCCUGGGUGUCCCUAUUAUACCGGUGGCACGAGCUACAACUGCGCAACAACCUGCCUUCUCAUUUACAGAAGCACUUAAAAAGUAUGUGCAAGCACAACAGCGGCGAUCUCUACCACCUGCAAAUCCAUCAAAUGCUACUUCCCUGCCUACAGAAACAGAAAAGCCAACAAAUACAAAUAUAACCAAAACUUCUACAUCGUCCAUCCUCAGUCAGAGAAUCAGAAGUUUAGAAAAUCAAGUCAAGGGAAGAAAGAAGGGCAAGAAGAGGUGAAAAUUUACUGAAUCUUUACCAUCUUAAGGGAAGAAAGAAGGGCGAGAAGAGGAGUUGAAGACACUUGCUAAGGUUUUAUAGAGAAGCCUUUGAAGCCAAAGCACCAAGCAUGUUCUUAUAUUAUAUUAUCAAGACAUGUAAAGAAUAUCUUCAGAUGUGUAUCCUUUUGUUUAGACAAUAUCUAUAGCCUAAAUAGAGGAAUAAACUUUUUACUGCAUAUGAAAUGACAGUUAUUUA
This is an RNA transcript of Daucus carota subsp. sativus, 1737 nucleotides long. It is a transcript of the gene named mitochondrial inner membrane protein OXA1, with no coding region annotated. The transcript has 11 exons. The record is from RefSeq and is a predicted model, not a curated record. Lineage: Eukaryota; Viridiplantae; Streptophyta; Magnoliopsida; Apiales; Apiaceae.